CAAGGGCAGAGCAAGGAGCUGCAGCUUGGGAAGGGAGCAGCAAGGAAAGGGAGGCACAACUGCUCAUGACAGAAGAUGCUGGGAGUGGGUGCCAAGAAGGGAUAUGGAUGUGACUCCCUCAAGGAGCUGAGCCAAGCCUGGAAUGAGGGACAAGGAGACUCCAGCACUGAAACCCCAGAGCCUUAAAUACACACAAGGAGGGUUAAAGAUUAGACCCAGCAGGAAAAGAGGCUCCAUUUCCAGCUUGAAAAUCAACCCAAAAAUCACGAUGACAGAAAAACACCAACCAGCCCUGAGCAACUCUCCUCUUGUCUCCAGAAAUUUGGGACCAUGAUUGAUUUAAGGAUGAGUGGAAAUGAACAGCCAGGGGUGGUUUGGCCUUUCC
Long non-coding RNA from Lepidothrix coronata (blue-crowned manakin), 385 nucleotides. RefSeq lists it as uncharacterized. The transcript has 3 exons. The record is from RefSeq and is a predicted model, not a curated record. Lineage: Eukaryota; Metazoa; Chordata; Aves; Passeriformes; Pipridae.